GCCUAUUUAUAAAUAUCACAGUCAGCUGCCCAUUAAUAAAUACCACUGUAAGUGUUUUACAGUGAGUAUCCUUGUGUUUUGAAUGUACAUGUCUUUGACCAUGUGUAUUUUUGUGUCUGGGACCGUAUGUGUGUGGGGUAACUGCUUGCAGUGUGUUUGUGUAAUGGGGGCUGCCUUUGGCCUUUGUUCAUUUUGUUUAUGGCAAAGCUAUGUUUCAUGACUGUGUGUGUGUAUUAUGAUUGUCUUCAGGAGG
This is a non-coding RNA of Pelobates cultripes (western spadefoot toad), 253 nucleotides long. The record is from the annotation of a GenBank genome assembly. Lineage: Eukaryota; Metazoa; Chordata; Amphibia; Anura; Pelobatidae.